Molecule: ribosomal RNA, 583 nt
Filed under: bacterium
Lineage: Bacteria
Description: bacterial SSU rRNA
Rfam family: Bacterial small subunit ribosomal RNA
Source: RNAcentral
CGGUAGCUAAUACCGCAUAACGUCGCAAGACCAAAGAGGGGGACCUUCGGGCCUCUUGCCAUCGGAUGUGCCCAGAUGGGAUUAGCUAGUAGGUGGGGUAACGGCUCACCUAGGCGACGAUCCCUAGCUGGUCUGAGAGGAUGACCAGCCACACUGGAACUGAGACACGGUCCAGACUCCUACGGGAGGCAGCAGUGGGGAAUAUUGCACAAUGGGCGCAAGCCUGAUGCAGCCAUGCCGCGUGUAUGAAGAAGGCCUUCGGGUUGUAAAGUACUUUCAGCGGGGAGGAAGGGAGUAAAGUUAAUACCUUUGUUCAUUGACGUUACCCGCAGAAGAAGCACCGGCUAACUCCGUGCCAGCAGCCGCGGUAAUACGGAGGGUGCAAGCGUUAAUCGGAAUUACUGGGCGUAAAGCGCACGCAGGCGGUUUUGUUAAGUCAGAUGUGAAAAUCCCCCGGGCUCAACCUGGGGAACUGCAUCUGAUACUGGCAAGCUUGAGUCUCGUAGAGGGGGGGUAGAAUUCCAGGGUGUAGCGGGUGAAAAUGCGUAGAGAUCUGGGAGGAAAUACCGGGGGGCGAAGGCGG